RNAcentral lists this long non-coding RNA (852 nucleotides) under Gossypium barbadense (sea-island cotton). RNAcentral's name for it is "long non-coding RNA (GBAR_LNC009619)". Lineage: Eukaryota; Viridiplantae; Streptophyta; Magnoliopsida; Malvales; Malvaceae. The record is from RNAcentral.
UUAUUUUCUUUUAACAUUUGUAAUAAGCUAAUUUUGGCUUGACCAGUUGAUAAAAUAAAAGCCAAACAAAUAAACAAUUAACCAGUCCAAAAUGAAUGUCCAUUUAUAUGUUGAACCCAAACCAAAAUUAAACCAGUCCAAAAUUUAAAACCCAAUAACUUAAACCCUAAUAGUCCAAUUAACCCAAAAUAUUUCAGCAAAAUAAACUCUAGCCCCCUUGACUAGCGCCGCACAUCACUCUGCCACCGCUGCCCGCAUGCCAUCGCCGACCUCCAUGCGCGUCUAACACUUGCAAAGAGAGAUCAACACGCAAGACAGAAGAAACAAGAGCAAAAAGACAAAAAAAAUAGAAGCAAACAGUCUUAAUGUUGGCUAUAAAAGCAAAAAACAAUUUCUUUGUAAUUUUUUUACGCACAUCAGUAAAUCAAAAAGCAGAAUAGAGAUUUGGAAAGGUUGUUGUUUUGAUCUUUUUGUUUCUUUUAUUUUCUUGUUUCUUUUUUUUUAUUUUAUUUUUUACAAAUUUAUUUUAAGUAUAAAAAGCGAAAAAAUAAAAAGAAAGAAAAGAGUUACCUGAACUGACCCGCGAUCUCGUCAUUGGGAGCCCUUCCCCACGCUGAAAUCAGACCAAUAGGGGAUCCGGGGUCCUUUUCUUGCGUCUUUCUUGGGGAGAGGAGAUUCGGCCUUCAAAGGGUUUUAGAAAGGGGUUAAAAAACUCUCAUUUUUGUGCAGCUCCGACCACCAUCCAUUGUGGGUCGCGACAGUCCUGCCACGGCGGGUUCAAGGGGACAACGGCAGACCAAAGCUGGGUUUGAAACCCUAGCAGAGAAAAAACGAGAGUUUUAAAAUUUUUUU